RNAcentral lists this ribosomal RNA (934 nucleotides) under Mucilaginibacter sp. AD101. RNAcentral's name for it is "bacterial SSU rRNA". It matches the Rfam family "Bacterial small subunit ribosomal RNA", at positions 515 to 1463 of the family's 1533-position model. The record is from RNAcentral. Lineage: Bacteria; Pseudomonadati; Bacteroidota; Sphingobacteriia; Sphingobacteriales; Sphingobacteriaceae.
CCGCGGUAAUACGGAGGAUCCGAGCGUUAUCCGGAUUUAUUGGGUUUAAAGGGUGCGUAGGCGGCCUGUUAAGUCAGGGGUGAAAGACGGUAGCUCAACUAUCGCAGUGCCCUUGAUACUGAUGGGCUUGAAUAUACUAGAGGUAGGCGGAAUGUGACAAGUAGCGGUGAAAUGCAUAGAUAUGUCACAGAACACCAAUUGCGAAGGCAGCUUACUAUGGUAUGAUUGACGCUGAGGCACGAAAGCGUGGGGAUCAAACAGGAUUAGAUACCCUGGUAGUCCACGCCCUAAACGAUGAACACUCGAUGUUGGCGAUAUACGGUCAGCGUCUAAGCGAAAGCGUUAAGUGUUCCACCUGGGGAGUACGCCCGCAAGGGUGAAACUCAAAGGAAUUGACGGGGGCCCGCACAAGCGGAGGAGCAUGUGGUUUAAUUCGAUGAUACGCGAGGAACCUUACCCGGGCUUGAAAGUUAGUGAAUGUGACAGAGACGUCACAGUUCUUCGGAACACGAAACUAGGUGCUGCAUGGCUGUCGUCAGCUCGUGCCGUGAGGUGUUGGGUUAAGUCCCGCAACGAGCGCAACCCCUAUGUUUAGUUGCCAGCAUUUAAGGUGGGGACUCUAAACAGACUGCCUAUGCAAAUAGAGAGGAAGGAGGGGACGACGUCAAGUCAUCAUGGCCCUUACGUCCGGGGCUACACACGUGCUACAAUGGAUGGUACAGAGGGCCGCUACCUGGCAACAGGAUGCCAAUCUCAUAAAGCCAUUCACAGUUCGGAUCGGGGUCUGCAACUCGACCCCGUGAAGUUGGAUUCGCUAGUAAUCGCGUAUCAGCAAUGACGCGGUGAAUACGUUCCCGGGCCUUGUACACACCGCCCGUCAAGCCAUGGAAGCUGGAAGUGCCUGAAGUGCGUAACCGCAAGGAGCGUCCUAGGU